AAUUCUCAACUGCCCCAGGCUUUGUGGCUUGUGGGUGAAGUUGGACUUGGAGAUAUGCUGGCGCAUGAAUGGGCUUUAAGCCCUGUUGUGCUUGUCGGCUCCUCUUGAAUGCAUGAGCUUUCCAAUCCUUGGCAAAGUAUCGUCGAUGUGAUAAUUAUCUAUGUCGCCCGAGAAAGCCGAAAAGGGGAAAUCUUUGAUCACGCUGGGGUGACCCGCGUCUGACAC
Molecule: unclassified non-coding RNA, 225 nt
Filed under: uncultured Tomentellopsis
Lineage: Eukaryota; Fungi; Basidiomycota; Agaricomycetes; Thelephorales; Thelephoraceae
Description: sequence contains ITS2
Source: RNAcentral